AGCCAACAGCCAUUCAUCGAGCAUUUAUUUGGAAUCCAGGCGAUCCCCUGCGAUGAUUCUCAAGCUCUAAUUUGAGCAGCUGGACCUCUUGAACUCUGGUAUGUGGAAGUGGAGCUGCUUGCCAGCCUUUAGAGAAGGGUGCAGCAGAGAUUCGCCCUCCCUCAGUUCACACCCACUUUGUUCCAGGGUGGGGCGUCCAUUGCAAACGACAAAACCAACAAGACAAAAUACAAUCACGGGCAGUACAACUCAACUCGCUCAAACAACCAGGAAUUUUACAAUCUCACAGCAUGGAAAAUCCAAAGACAGGUGGCUCUGUUGACUUCACGUCCUCACAGGAUGAGGCUGUUCUUUGUUUUGUUUCUGAUGCUCUGCCACAUUCAGAAUGUUCAAGAUGAGGGUAACUUCUCCAGGUCUCUCCCAUCGGGGUCACAAGACAGCUGCCAUUCACUGAGAAAGACAUGGAGUCGUUCAUUCUUGCCAUCUUUUUAAAAAACAGAACUUCCCCGGGAGCUCUCCAACCCCUGCAGCCCUCAUCGGCCCGGGAUGCUUGACACACACAAGUUAUGCCUUGCCAAAACCCAUCGUCUGCACUCAGGACAGGGUACGGCUGUGCAGCCCUGAAUGAGAUAACUAAGUGGAGAAUGGUGGAUGUCUAAACUCAGUGCAGGCUCAGUUAGGAAAGGAGAAGGCUUUCCUGCCCAGGAUCUGGUACUCACAAUAAAUGCUCGAUGAAUGGCUGUUGGCUCUCCUUCCCUUGAGAGGUCUUCAGUGAGGGAGACGAACAUACGUGGCUUAGAGGCAGGAAAGGGUGUGAAUUGCACAGACAAAUGGCAUCAUGCGCUAAAGAGGGCCCAGCUUCCCUAGGCCCGGCGGACUUGGCUUCUCACCUGGCUCUCCAACUAACUGGUGCUCAUCUGCUUGGCUUUCCACCAACCAAUUGCCUUUUUUCUCUUUCAUCCAGC
RNAcentral lists this long non-coding RNA (965 nucleotides) under Homo sapiens (human). Its description in RNAcentral is "HSALNT0133938". Lineage: Eukaryota; Metazoa; Chordata; Mammalia; Primates; Hominidae. The record is from RNAcentral.